Corvus hawaiiensis (hawaiian crow) is the source of this 10541-nucleotide long non-coding RNA. RefSeq lists it as uncharacterized. NCBI's taxonomy places the organism in Eukaryota, Metazoa, Chordata, Aves, Passeriformes, Corvidae. The record is from RefSeq and is a predicted model, not a curated record. The transcript has 4 exons.
AGCCCCACGCCCGCCGCCUCGCCUGCCUUCCCUCAGUCCCAGCCCUCCCUCCGCUCCUGUCGCGUCCCCGCCCGGCCCUGGAUGCGAAGGCGAGGGGCGGCCGGAGAGAAUCCGGACUGGGCUUUGAGCAGGUCUCGCCUUCUCCCCUGCCAUGAGCGGAGCGGCUGCCCAGCCUGUGCUCAAUUUUAUUUCAAUUUUGGGGGUUUAUGGGGCGGUUGGGCUAGUUUUUUUGGGGGUUUUGUUGUUUUUUUUUUUUUUUUCCCCCCCCAGAUCUUGAAGCUCAGCAAUGUCUUAAACGGAUUACACGGAGGAGGGGUUGAAGCUGAAAACCUCAUUCAUCCUCACGACGGUCCUAUUCAUUGCUGAAAUAGGUGUAGCGUAGGAGCCGACACAUCUGCUGGGUCCUUUGAACCUACAGCCUGCCUCCUCCUAGUGCUCUGGAACAGCAGUUGGUGGCUUUCCCCUAGAUUCACCCUCUGGUGUCCCCAGCUGAUGGACGUACCAAGACUUUCUCUCUUCUGGUACCCAGGACAGCAGGAAUUUGUAUCCAUCCUUUAGUUACAGUUCCUCAUAACAAAGGAAAAAAUAGGAGCUGGUCUUCCCCGAAGCAGCUCAGCAGUUGUGUGGGCUGCUUGAGCUGGCUGCAGCAGGGAGGGCAGGGCUGCAGAGUGCUCUGAAUCCUUAUCAUGUGCCUGCUACUGGGAGCCCCCAUCUCCUCUGGUAAACCAGGAGGCCCACUGAAUAUUCCUCACUUCCCUCUCACCCUCUUGAUGGGGAUAAUCACCGAAGCAGCACCUCUUGUGGUGCAGGGUUAGGCUUGUCUUAUUGCACAUGCCACAAAAGGGGCUCACAGGCCAUCUCUACAGGGUAGAUGGCCUCCAGUACUUUAUGCCUGGCCAAAACCUUCUAUGUCCAUAUGCUGAGUCUUCACAUGACCUCUGCUGAGCAGGCAGAGCUGCUGGAGCACUUUUCUAGGAAAGCCCAUUGCUGUUUAGCACAGAAGAUGGAAUGUGAAAACCUGAGCUCAGACCGAGGUCCUGAGAGUGGUGUUCACACUCUAGGGUGAAUAUAUUUGCUAAUUCAGACAUCAGGCAUGGGAUGAACCUUUCCUCCUGGUCCCAGGUGUCCUUGGGUGCCCCUGGGUUGGGUGGAUCCCGUCAAGUGCUCUCUGCCUGCUCUGCUCACUUUCACCUCCACCCAAGACAGAGGCUGGAGGAGAGAAAAUGAAGCCUUUCCUUCGUGGUGGGGUGUCCUAGUGAGACCCGGCAUGGACAGGGAGAGUUAGUCAGAAACCACUGGAAACAGAGCAACCUGGGAGGAAUCUGCUCACUCACACAGCUGCUAUUGCCUAACGUGAGCUUUGCACAACACAGUAAUUGGUUCCAACUGACUCACAGCAGAGUUUCACGUCAGGAAGGGCGUGCGGCUGCUGCGUCGGGGACACGGCAUUGUAGAGGUCCUCAGCUGGCAAAGGAGCUGGGCAGAGAGCAGCAAGAGGUGAUUCUCCUUUGAGUAAGGAGACAGAGCCAGAUCCUUACUGUUCCGAGUAAGGAAACACAGCAGGUCCCUUUCUCUGCAUUGUGUGGGGGGCUUACUCCUCUGUCCAGAGUGGGCACUCUUAUUGCAGAUAUUUUAAGAGAUCUGCAGAGGCAAGUGAUAGUGUGGCUGAUUGUAAACUAAUACUAAUAUUAACUAAGAGCUUUUCUUACCUUUGAUGUAAGCUGUAAACAUUAUAUGAGCUCAAAUCAACUGUAUUUGAAUAUAUUCGAAAUCUGCUAAAAACAGACUCACCCUUCUCUCUUUGUUUGGUGUUACUGGCCAAUAACAUUAGCAGUGCCAUAAUUGUAUCCAUUAAAGAGGGGAUAAGUGACAACAUAAAUAUAAAGGCAACAUGAAUUCAGUCUUUGUUCACACAGGCGAACACUAGGAUUUACUCAUUCUUGGUCUGCAUUUGUUGUAGCCCUACUUAAGCUGACAGCCAGAAUGAAACCAGGUUUGAAACAGCUCUGCUCAGAUGCACCGUGGUUCCCUUACAGCUAAAAUAUAACACUUUUGAGUGAGAUGAGUUUUGAGGCACAGGAUUGUUUCGCACUAGAGUUGUGAUUUCUGACACUACCCUUUCCAGAGAUUUAUAAUAUCAGUGGGAUAGUGCUUUCUUUCUUUUCUUUCCUUUUCUUUUUUUUUUUUAAACUCGUUUAUAUAUGAAUGAGGCAGUGCCCUUUUAUUUUCUUUUCUUUUCUGUUCUUUUUGCUACAGCUCACUGGCUGCUUCCCUUUUUUCCCAGCCUUGUAGUAUUUCCACCCUCCUCUCCCUUCCCCCAGUCUGCCACAGUGUCAGUGAGAAACAAAACUGCUGAAACCUGAGCUUUCUAGCUAGAGAAGAUGAAGAAUGAGAGGAGGUGGUAAUUAAACCCUCCCCCAUAUUAUUCAUGCAAAGGAAUUGUCUUUGAACACCACUUCAUCCUGGGAGCCUCUCCGAGUUUAAAGAGAAAGUUGAGUUGUCAUUCUGGGGCCAUAAUCUAAUCACGGUGUCCCCCUUUGAUUUAAAAAUCUUCUUAGGAAGUGGCAAAUAUCUCUCCCUGUCUACCCUUUUAUAUUUUAUUUUUAAUUUUUAGUCUUAAGAAUGUGGUGCUUGUUGUUUUGGCAUUUUUCUUAUAGUGCAGGAUUUUACCACCCAAGUUAGGCUGGUUUCUCUCACUGGCUAUGGUUUAAGAGGUAUCAGCCUUUAGCAGUAUCAAGAACAGAAAAAUAUUCCUCUCUGUAAUUACAGACAAUUCUCUGUAUGCACGGUAAGACCGAAAGGCUCUCCAGGAGUCUCCAUCUUUCAAGGUGUUUCCAGAUUCAUGCUAUCAGAAGCAGCUUUGAUAUAAGUGGUGCUUCUUGGGACAGGCAUCUACCAUCUGCUGGAAGAGAUCUACCAUUUUUAAUCACUUGGCCACUAAAGAGCACUGAAUGUGUUUCUUUAUCCUCUUCUUGCCCUGUUUACUCUGAAGAAGCCCAGCAAAACAUCUCUAAACAUCAAUCCAUUUCCACACAGACUGUAAGUGCUGCCACUGACACACAGGUAUAUGCCCACACACAGAAAGUAGGACACGAUGAUCUUAGCGGUCUUUUCCUUUUCAAGGUUAUUCAUUAUAUGAUUCUCUGAUUCUCUGCUAUUUAACAUGCUUUGUGUUCUUCCUUGAGAGGGCUGCUCUGCUUCAGUGACUCGAAGAAGAUAAAAAUUAUCCAUUAUGAUUUCUGAGAUUUUCAAGUGAAAGCUCCAGUAUUACUCAAGGGAUCGGUGAGAUAGGGCCUAUUCCCACUUCUACCAACUGCCCUCCAGGUACUGUCCACCCUUGCUGUCAGAAUUUAUUAGGUCUGUUCAGGGCACAAAUGCUUGUUCAAGGUGCUCCUGCAGAUUCUUGCAGAGUUCAGAGUCUGCAAGAAUAAAGAAAUAAAGGCAAAAUUAAGAUGUGGUCAUUGCAGGCUGGGGUGUAUCUGAGCACAUGCAAGUGAUUGCAUGGUGAAUUUUGGCUCCUUAGCAGUGUAAUGAUGCUGAGGAAUUGCCUGUCCAAUCGUAAGCACAAACACCUGGGCUGUGUGUCUUGCCUGAGGCAAGAUUUCAGGACAUCUGAAUGCUGCCCUUUGAUUAUAAUAUAAAAAAGGUAAAAAAAAAGAUCAUUUUGUUGUGGACAAUAAAAAAACUUUAGGAAAAAAUCAAUAAUAAGAAAAGUAAUGACAUAAAGUAGAUUUCUCUGUCAGUUUAAAGCUUUCAACACAUAGCUUCAUUUCAAAAACACCAAAUGCUAGUAGCUCCCCUUGAGCCCAUAUGGCUCUGCUCAGUAGACACACUUUAAAAAAAAUCCUUACCAGUUCUUUAGAUAUCUAAAUAUACACCUGUCACACUUAUUUUAAACAUCUUGUCUUAGAUUUUUGGUUCUAACAAUUUUUAGGUACAGAUUUACAGCAGAGUGAUAGUUUUGUUUUAAUCUAUGUCUGGUCAAAUCUCUUUUGUGCUGCUUACAUAAUUAUCACUUUAAAAGCUGCUAAGCAGUUUUUGCAUAUACUUCUCAUUCUUGAGUUCAUCUCUGCUUACUUUGUAUAUCUAAGUAUUAGAUAUUGAGCCCAAGAUGGUCACUCAAAUUCUCUCACUUUUCAACGAAGAAACAUAGGCACUGACAAUGGCUGUUCGUAUCUUCCUGAGGUUGUUUGGAUGACUGUUUCAUGAGGAAUCUUGAGGGAUCAUUUUUAAAGUGCCUAAUUCUUAGGCAGCUAGAUGAGAAAGAGCUUAUGCUUCAUACCCUCAGCCUUGACUUUCACAGCAACCAAAUCUGCUUCAUUAAGAAUUGAACCAGUUUAGCUAAAAUGCUGCAUAAUUAUUAUAUAAAACAUCUGAUAUUCCCAAAUGCCAGUGGGGCACAGCUGAUAAAUCUCUGCUUUGUUUCCUGCUUCCCACGCGAAAAUGGCCAGGCUGAACACUGUCUGGUUUUGAGUUAGAGCAAUGAGAAGAGAAGAUCACCUGAAAGAUGCCUCCCUCUGUAAAUGUGUAUUCAAAUACACAAGGAGAUGAUGUGAAGGAAAGCAGAUUUUGCAGCAGUCUAGUUAGAGAUUCAUAUUUGUAUUUUUUUAGAUAAGCCCCUUCAUAUAGCUGAAUAGCUCUUUUUUCCAACAAACAGAUAAAGCUUGUCUUUUUUUGUGAAAUACACCAUAACUUGCACAAUGGGGUGAAACUCUCAUAAACAGUUUGAAAGAAAGUAUCUGUCUUUUGCUAAACAGAUGUGGGUUCAAUUUCAGAUGUCAACAAUAAAAAAAUAAAAUGCUUGACAACAGGGAAAUAAAUGAACAAUAACAUGGAAAUUCAUAAUUUUCUGUAAAUUAAGCCAGACUGUUAGAAUCACAGCUUCUGUAUUUAGUAAAAUAUAUUGCAGUUCUGUGGAAGCUGGUUGUCCUUCUCUUAGGUGAUGUUUAUCUGCACAAAAUACACAUGGAAGGAUACCAAAGUGUGCUUCUUGAAUCUCUCUGUAGUUUUAUGUUGGUCAGUUUACAGACGAAUUCAGGAUGCCCUAACCUAAUCUGAAUGAACUCAGGCUUUAUAAAAUCACAUAAACACCCACAGUAGAAAAAGCAGUAUUCUGUUCAGAAUAAAACCAAACCACAGCCAAACCACCCCACUAUAACCCAUACCCCAGAUCUCUGAUUUUCAUUCAAUAAACCCAAAUGAGUGAAUAGGCAGGGUCAUUGAGGUGGCUUCCUGAGCAUAAUGUGACAAAGGCUGAAUUUGUGUUUAGAAUUGAUGGAUUCAGUGACUCCAAAUCAAAGUUGUGGGUCUGGUUCCUUAAAAUGACCAACACAUCUGUGAUCAGAAAUUGCAUCAACAUUAGACAAUUUUGUAGUGUGUAAUGUGGCUUACAUAUGUGGCUAGAAGGCAGGAAAAACUAUUUUUUUUUUUAAAGGCAUUGCUUUUCAUUUUUAAGAUAUAAAGCAGUGUAAAAGCCAUUUACAGAAAAAUGACCCCGAACCACUUAUCUUUACAAUUGUGUUUAUUUGUUUCAAGAACAAAUACAAAAUGGUUAAAUCUUACUAUUAUUUUUGGUGACAUACGUUGGGUUUCCUUUGUACUCCACUGUUUGUGAUUAACAGCACCAUAAAGAAAACAAAGCCGUGAUUAUUACUACAGUAACUGGAGAGGAAAAUAUCUCCUGAUUGAAGUAAGGAGUAAGUUUCACAAAACACCAUGGCAAUUCAUUGUGUAACUUGGGGCAAGCACCUUUAAAUUUGAGUGGAGGGUUAUGGGGGUCUUAAUUGAGUUAUUCAUUAAUAUUUGUCAUCUACAAAAUGAAUUUAGUGUCAUUGAAAUCUUUAGACACUUCUAGAUUUUUGUGGUAAAAAUCAUCUUUAUGGUAUUGGUCAUUUAAUUAGUCAAUGAUGUAUUGGGAAGCCAAUGUUAUGUCACAUCCCCAUCAGCUUUCAUUACUGGCAUCUGUGAUGAUCUUUCCUUUCAUGGUCUGAGGUCAGCCUUGGUGACUUGCAUCUUGGAUGCCCACCCUUCCUCUCAGAUUCCCUGAACCCUACUGUCACCUUCCUUCUGACGCUUUUAAUUUCCAUUUGCAUUUUUUUGCUCACUGACCUUUAGUGAUAUGUGUCCUUCACUGGACCUUGUCUGUGCUGGUAACAGAGGGCUGUGGGUAUUUUAAGGUGCAUCCUGAUUUACACAAACAGCUGUGUUUUGCAUCCCUCCAUGACAGAAAAAAUCACCCCAAAUUCCAGCAUUUAGUGGCAGCGCAUGGAGACUCGCUUUGAUGCUUUGGCAAGCGUGAAUGUCCAUACUGUCUCAGUGACAAGAAUUCCUUACUUAUCUCCAAGGAUUCAUGGACUCCUAGGAAAGAUGUUCAAAUUUUAGCCAUUUCAGUUCAGCAGGUUUGGUUCUCAUGCAGUCAAAGCUCAAGGGUAUUGCUUUGAAUGCUUUAACUAGAAGCAAGAGCCAGAUAAACACAGAGCAGAAGGCCAAUGAAAUCCUGUUGUAAAUCUAUCAAGCAAACACAAACCCCUCCCUGAUCAUCAGCCUGGUUCCAAAAAUGUGCUUAAUGGAAGAUUCAUGUGCCAAAGGAUUCCUGUUACUGGAUUGUGCAGAGCUGAGGUAUUAUUGAAUUCUGCAUCUUUGUCCACAUUUCCAGCUAUGUGACUGGAGCUCGUGUCCUGUGCUGCACUGUCCCAGUAGCUGUAGAAACCAAUGGAAGUAUAAUUGAACAUGUGAGAUUCACUUGAUUCAGUUAUUCAAAGCAUGUGGCUGCACUAUCUUCCAAAACGCCCUCCAGCCAAGCAACCCUUAGCUUGGCCAUAGCUAAAAAAUGUUCUAAAAUUCGCUUCUGAGGUCAGCAGCGCUGUGAUACAGCUGAAGGAGUGCAAUAGCUGCGAGCCUUGCUGAGCACAUUUCAUACAAGGCUCAGAAGCGCCACUGCCGAGGAUGCUGCUGGCUGCGGCCGCUUGCAGGAAACCCAUCCAGGCUCAUUCUUAAAAAGUCACAGAUACGCACUGGAAAAUCCUUGAUAUUUAUUUUUGGAUACAGGGCUAAACCCUGGCUUUGUAGAGGUGAGGAGAGUUUCCAUUGAUUAGAUUAGAGCCCAGACUUCUUUUUCCAGCUUGAUUUCUAGCUGAGCCCUGUCUCAGGCUACUUCCUGAAGGAGUGGCAAGGAGAGUUGUGCUUUUUAUGUUCACCAAGGGCAGGCUCUGAGGCUGGGAAUCAGCCUUAGCUACCACCAGUGCACUAACAGAGUGAUUAACAGGAAUUUGAUAAUGGCACACUCUGAAUACAGACAGUAUAGAUUUGAGUUCUGGGUAGCUGCAGAUUACUAAUCUCUGCAGCUGCUGCUGAGACAUUUUCUGGUAAUAGCUAACAAAUUCUUCUGAAAGAUCAUCUUCCCCACCAGAAGGAAACACAUUUACUCAAGUGGAUUACGUUUCUCAUCCAUUAUUUUUAAUUUCUUCUCUUAUUACUCUGUGCAAAAUAAGAAUAGCCAGCUCAUCUCACCUUUUCUGUCUGUACAUUUUCCUCCUUUUUCAAGGAAGGUCAGGCUUACCCCCUUUGCAGAUGGGGAAACUGAGUCAUAGGGAGAGGUGUCUGAGGUCAUUAAGAAGCAAAUGGAAAAAAACGUUGUGUAAAUUCGUCUCUAGAGUCCCUGCCCAGUUGCUUGCUCCCUUAAAUGUCAGUCCCACAGGAUUUAAGCUAAAGCUAAUGGUGAUAAAUAGGAAACUCCCCACUGACUUAGAUGAUCUUUGAAAUCAACACACGUCUAUAUAUAUAUAUAUAUAUAUAUAUCUCCUUCCAUCCUUCCACAACCUCAAGUGAUUUUAAUAUCAUAGUAUCUUGAUCUCAUCUGCAAAGUCUUAGAUUGACACAGCAAUCUCAGUUCCUGUGGCUGGUGAACAAUAACAUUAUCACUGCUGCUGCAGGAUGACUGAGGGGCUGAUUAAACACACCCAGAGGAGAGUUUGCCCAGUGAACGAUGCAGAGUCCCAUUGCUAUAGAUCCACAUGUCAAGCAGACUUUCCAGACCUAGAUGUCUGCUGCACUGGAACAUUGAAAGGUUUUCCCCUGGCUGGAUAAUGUUCUCUGGGGCUCAUGGGGUGGGUCCAGCUCUAUGGAGGACAUGAACCACACCAUGCCACCAGAGACCAGAGGAGACAGCCCUGCCCCUCUCCGGUGCACAGGCAACAUUUUCCGGGAAGAUGUGGAGCCCCCAAAGUUACCUUCCAAGCCCAGCACUGGAUCUUCUGUUCUUCCUCACACCUCCCAAAUUUCUGCUCUCCCAGAUGACAAGGAUUCCUCUGCUUGGCUGUGGGAAAUCUAUAAAGCCCGUGACGAGGUCAGGGCUGGGCAGCAUGCAGGCAGCUCUCCCUCCAAGGAGGGCUCUCCCUGGCAUCAACAUGGCACUCUGUCCUACUCCCAGCUCCCACACCCCAACCAACAUGCACUGUGCAAGUGCUCAGUGUGUCCCAGGUGGAUCUAACCAGCUGGAUGGGACACAGAAGCUCCCAGGGAGGCCACAGUGCUGUAAAGGAGGCUGUACCACUUAGAGUCUGAGCUGGUAGCCAUUUGUCUGGUUUUCCCUUCCUGUGAGUGAAGUGUCACCUAAAACAUGUCUCCUUGAACUGCCCGGAUGGCUGAGGUAUCACCAAAUGUCUGGGUUUCUGCGGCUGCUGUUCUUUAGCUGGGUGUUCACUGUGGGAGUGAUCACUGUCGCCACUGAGCUUUCCAACUCUGACAUCCAGGACAGUGCCUGGGGUCCCAGUGAGGCUCCAGGAGUGAGGUAAGCAGGUGCAAGGUGUCUUCUCCAAGGUCUGGAUGGGAACCAGAGCUGGCAGUGCUUUGGGCUGCUCCCUGGGUCUGCUUGUGCCACUUCCUCUGCCCAUUCUCACUCAGUGCUCCUCUAAGCAUUUUCUACAAGAAAAGGGAGCAAUAAUGGCUCCAGUGAGUGAGUUUUUAUUUCCUAAAUAUAAGAACUCAAACACUCCAAGUCACAUGAGUGCUACUAAUCGCCAUUUUCCUGCCCAGCCUGUUAAAACUUCCACUAACUCAUCCUGAGUCCGCCAUUUAAAGAUACGAUAACAUUUUGUAUCCAAUUUCCCCUAUAAUUAUAUUGUACACACUGUUAGCCUUGCUGAGAGCGAGACUAUCAGUAACAAAACACUCCAUCAACUUCCAGCACUUUAACAAAAUCCCCUUUUUUAUUUUAUCAGUCUGAUGUGAAUCCCUCUGAUCAGGUGUUAACAAGCGGGGCUAUUUUCCCUCGAUAAUCCUCUAGCACUAUAAAUACAUAUUCACUACUCAGACAUCAAAUCACUUGGACUGCAAGAGGUUUUAGGUUUCCCACUUCUACCUCAUUUUUAUAAAUCUUUGUUGUCAAAAUCUCUCAUGUUAAUUGUCCAUAACAGCAGCAUCAGUAUCAUAUCUGGGAAGAAAAAAAUAGUUGGCUUUAAGGAAAGGAAAAGCCCUUAUUUAUGUUGCUACAUGUUGUAAGGAAUUUAUUUGAUUUAUGUUAGAUUAUCCAUAUACAUAAAAUUUUAAGGAUUUUAUCAGUGGUCCACAUCUAUCUGUCAAGUACAUCUCAUUUUUGCUUGAUGGGUGAAAUAUCUUUGGUGAUCACAACCAUACAGCAGACGAGAGCUGAAUUCUGUUUUGUCCUUGGAAAAGAGACUUCACCUUCCUGCGCUUAUUGCUCCACCUGGAAUGGCUGCAGUCUUUUUGAAUAUACCAGCAUCUCUUUUCGUCCUUCUGGGAGAUUCCCAAAACAGGAAUGGGAACUGGACAGAAGACAGCCAGUAACAGAAGAGCCCUGAGAAAAAAAACAAAAACCAAAUAACCCCCCAAAAAUGGUAUAAGUAGACAAUAUAUUUGUCUCCUAAAUUUGUAUAAGAACACAACUAAUUCCUGCCUCAUUACACAGUUUCUUACUUGGUGUUAAGAAUGUUAUAAUCCUCUUGAGAGAAAAGGCAAAUAAUGACGUUGGCAGGAAUUAUGAUCAGAACUGCACAAAUUUUCAGUCAAAAUCUCUUAGGACUGUAUAUAACAAAAUUUCUAAUAUUGUCUCUACCAUUCUUUUUUCUAUAACUUUUUAAAAAGCUGUAAAUAAUUUUAAUGCUGAUUUUUCCCUUAGAAUUCACUGAGUCAAGGCCAUAAUAGUUGAAAUCCAGAGCGACUAUCUAAUUAAUUAACUUAAUUUAAAUAUUUAAUAUUCAAGCCAAAUAUUGACAUUAAAUUAAAUUAUAUAUUGAAUGCUGCACAGGAAAAUGCCUACAUCAAUAUUUACACCUUUCUGGCUUUGUGUUGCAUUGAAUUCUUUAGAAAUUUUUCCCAUCACUGCCCAGGAACUCAAUGUGUGAGGGAUGGAGCACCUCUCCUACAAAGAUAGACUGAGGAGCUGGGAUUGCUCAGCCUGGAGAAGAGAAGGCUUUGGGGAGACCUCAUUGCAGCCUUCCUGUACCUAAAGAGGGCUUAGAAAAAGAAGGGAGAGGGAUUUUUCAUGUGGGCAGACAGUGACAGGACAAGGGGCAAUUGUUUUA